AUUGAACGCUGGCGGAAUGCUUUACACAUGCAAGUCGAACGGUAGAGGGGGCAACCCCUCGAGAGUGGCGAACGGGUGAGUAAUAUAUCGGAACGUGCCCAGUCGUGGGGGAUAAGGUAGCGAAAGUUGCGCUAAUACCGAAUACGAGCUAAGGAUGAAAGCGGGGGAUCGAAAGACCUCGCGCGAUUGGAGCGGCGGAGAUCAGAUGAGGUAGUUGGUGGGGUAAAGGCGCACCAAGCAAACGAUCUGUAGCUGGUCUGAGAGGACGAGCAGCCACACUGGAACGGAGACACGGUCCAUACUCCUACGUGAGGCAGCAGUGGAGUAUUUUGAACAAUGAACGCAACUCUGAUCCAACCAUUCCGCGUGCAGGAUGAAGGCCCUCGGGUUGUAAACUGCUUUUGUACGGAACGAAAAGGUCUCUCUUAAUACGGGGGGCUCAUGACGGUACCGUAAGAAUAAGCACCGGCUAACUACGUGCCAGCCGCCGCGGUAA
Molecule: ribosomal RNA, 496 nt
Filed under: uncultured bacterium
Lineage: Bacteria
Description: partial 16S ribosomal RNA
Rfam family: Bacterial small subunit ribosomal RNA
Source: RNAcentral